Molecule: ribosomal RNA, 1968 nt
Filed under: human gut metagenome
Description: bacterial LSU rRNA
Rfam family: Bacterial large subunit ribosomal RNA
Source: RNAcentral
UCAAGUAAGUAAGGGCGUACGGCGGAUGCCUUGGCCAUAUCAGCCGAAGAAGGACGCGAUAAGCUGCGAUAAGCUGCGGUGAGGUGCAAGUAACCUUUGACCCGCAGAUCUCCGAAUGGGGAAACCCGGCAGCAGUAGUGCUGUCAUCCUCUAUGAGGAAGGGCACCCGGUGAACUGAAACAUCUAAGUAGCCGGAGGAAAAGGAAUCAACAGAGAUACCCCUAGUAGCGGCGAGCGAACGGGGCAGAGCCCAAACCGGAAUGGGAAACCAAUCCGGGGUUGUGGACUGCUAUCAAAUGCAUGAGUGAAGCAGAAUGAGCUGGGAAGCUCAGCCAGAGAGAGUGAGAGCCUCGUAGGCGUAAGCAAGUGCAUGGAGCAGGAUCCGGAGUACCACGGGACACGAGAAACCCUGUGGGAAGCUGGGGGGACCACCCUCCAAGGCGAAACACUGAUAUGGACCGAUAGCGCAUAGUACCGUGAGGGAAAGGUGAAAAGAACCCCGGGAGGGGAAUGAAAGAGAACCUGAAACCGUAUGUCUACAAGCAGUCGAAGACCUUUAUAUGGUCGACGGCGUGCCUAUUGAAGAAUGAACCGGCGAGUUACUUCAGCUAGCGAGGUUAAGCAGAAAAUGCGGAGCCGCAGCGAAAGCGAGUCUGAACAGGGCGUAUAGUUAGUUGGAGUAGACCCGAAACCACAGUGAUCUACCCAUGUCCAGGUUGAAGCACAGGUAAAAAUGUGUGGAGGACCGAACCAGUGAGCGUUGAAAAGCUUUUGGAUGAGAUGUGGGUAGGGGUGAAAUGCCAAUCGAACGUGGAGAUAGCUGGUUCUCCCCGAAAUAGCUUUAGGGCUAGCCUCAUGGCGAGAGUACAGGCGGUAGAGCACUGAACGGGGUAGGGGCCUAUCCGGCUACUGAACCUAAUCAAACUGCGAAUGGCUGUACUUAUCCAUGGGAGUCAGACUGUGAGUAAUAAGGCCCAUAGUCAAGAGGGAAACAGCCCAGACCAACAGCUAAGGUCCCCAAUGCCGUACUAAGUGGCGAAGGAUGUGGAAUUUCGAAAACAACCAGGAUGUUGGCUCAGAAGCAGCCACCAUUAAAAGAGUGCGUAAUAGCUCACUGGUCGAGAGACUCUGCGCCGAAGAUGUCCGGGGCUAAAGUACGGAACCGAAGCUUUGGCAAUUGACGUAAGUCAAUUGGGUAGGGGAGCGUUCCUGCAUGGGAGAAGCCUGACCGGAAGGACAGGUGGACAGGCAGGAAGAGAGAAUGCCGGUAUGAGUAGCGAAAAGAAGGGUGAGAAUCCCUUCCACCGAAAGCCUAAGGGUUCCUGGGCAACGAUCGUCGUCCCAGGGUAAGUCGGGACCUAAUCCGAGGCGGAGACGCGUAGGAGAUGGACAACAGGUUGAAAUUCCUGUACUGGCUGAGGCCGUUUGAGCGAAGGAGUGACACAGGAAGGAAGGCGCGCGUGCGAUUGGAAGAGCACGUCCAAGCAGGUAGGUCGGGAGACAGGCAAAUCCGUUUCCCAGAAGGCCGAGAUGCGAUGGGGAGCUUCUGGAGACAGAAGCGAAGGGGCUGGCACUAAACUGUCGAGAAAAGCUUCUAGUGAGGACUCAGGCACCCGUACCGAAACCGACACAGGUAGGCAGGAUGAGAAUUCUAAGGUGCGCGGGAAAACCCUCGUUAAGGAACUCGGCAAAAUAUAUCCGUAACUUCGGGAAAAGGAUAACCCAGCGUACGUGAAGUGCAGAAGCGCAUGGAGCGGAGAUGGGUGGCAGAAGAGAGGCCCAAGCGACUGUUUACCACAAACACAGGCGUCUGCUAAAGCGAAAGCUGAUGUAUAGAUGCUGACACCUGCCCGGUGCUGGAAGGUUAAGAGGAAGUGUUAGCGCAAGCGAAGCAGUGAAUUGAAGCCCCAGUAAACGGCGGCCGUAACUAUAACGGUCCUAAGGUAGCGAAAUUCCUUGUCGGGUAAG